ACACUGAUGGUGAAGCGGUUAUCAUGCUUGACUUCCACUCACGUGAUUUACGCUUACGUAAUCAGUUAGCAAGCGGCAGGGGUUCGACUCCCCUUCAGUGUA
Non-coding RNA from Mycena leptocephala, 102 nucleotides. Lineage: Eukaryota; Fungi; Basidiomycota; Agaricomycetes; Agaricales; Mycenaceae. The record is from the annotation of a GenBank genome assembly.